AGAACGAACGCUGGCGGCAUGCCUAAUACAUGCAAGUCGAACGAACUCUUCGGAGUUAGUGGCGCACGGGUGCGUAACGCGUGGGAAUCUGCCCCUUGGUUCGGAAUAACAGUUGGAAACGACUGCUAAUACCGGAUGAUGACGAAAGUCCAAAGAUUUAUCGCCAAGGGAUGAGCCCGCGUAGGAUUAGCUAGUUGGUGAGGUAAAGGCUCACCAAGGCAACGAUCCUUAGCUGGUCUGAGAGGAUGAUCAGCCACACUGGGACUGAGACACGGCCCAGACUCCUACGGGAGGCAGCAGUGGGGAAUUUGGACAAUGGGGGAAACCCUGAUCAGCCAU
Molecule: ribosomal RNA, 339 nt
Filed under: uncultured soil bacterium
Lineage: Bacteria
Description: bacterial SSU rRNA
Rfam family: Bacterial small subunit ribosomal RNA
Source: RNAcentral